RNAcentral lists this ribosomal RNA (468 nucleotides) under Banareia nobilii. RNAcentral describes it as "Banareia nobili partial 16S ribosomal RNA". The stretch from base 323 to 468 matches the Rfam family "Bacterial large subunit ribosomal RNA", at positions 2473 to 2619 of the family's 2925-position model. Lineage: Eukaryota; Metazoa; Arthropoda; Malacostraca; Decapoda; Xanthidae. The record is from RNAcentral.
CAAAGGUAGCAUAAUCAUUAGAGUUUUAAUUGGAAUCUAGUAUGAAGGGUUAGACAAAGAAAAAACUGUCUUUAGAGUAAAAAUUGAAAUUUACUUUUAAGUGAAAAGGCUUAAAUGUAUUAAAGGGACGAUAAGACCCUAUAAAUCUUUAUAAGUAAUUUAAAUUUACUUAACUUAUAGUAAUAAAAAUUAAAUUUAAUUAUCUUAUUUUAUUGGGGUGAUAUGAGUAUAAAUAUUGUUAACUGCUUAGUAAAAAUUCUAUUAUAAUAGAGUGUUUAUUAUAUGAUCCUUAUUGAAGAUUAGAAGACUAAGUUACUUUAGGGAUAACAGCGUUAUUUUUUUUGAGAGUUCAUAUCGAAAAAAAAGAUUGCGACCUCGAUGUUGAAUUAAAAUGUCUAUAUAAUGUAGCCGUUAUAAAAGAAGGUCUGUUCGACCUUUAAAAUUUUACAUGAUUUGAGUUCAAACCGG